GGCGCAGGGCGAGAUCGUAGUACUCGGCCUUGCAGCGCUGGAGCUCGCGGCUGCCCGCCUCGCAGGCCUCCUUGAGAUGCUGCACGCGCUCCUGGAGCUUGCGCAGCAGGCUGUCCUUCACGCGCAGCUCCUCGGCGAGGUCGUCUCUGGAGCUCAGCAGGGCCGUCAGCUCCUGCACCCUCUUCUGCAGCUUCAUCACCUCACUCAUCAGCAGCUGCGUCAGGCCUGACUCACCGGAAGCGUCUGCGGAGCGGGCAGAAUCAGACGGCGCGCCCCUCCCAGGGGCCCCACUCGAGGACCGAGCGGCUCUGGGGUGGCUUGGCCAAGGGGUCAGCUCCCCGCCCAGGGGAUGAACUGAGUUCACCCAUCGGGACCAGGCUCCCCCGUCCCUCGCGCCCUCGUCCGGCGCCGCCUCUCCCGCACGACCCUGUGUAUGGGCGG
RNAcentral lists this long non-coding RNA (441 nucleotides) under Ovis aries (sheep). RNAcentral's name for it is "lncRNA (ENSOARG00000025947.1)". Lineage: Eukaryota; Metazoa; Chordata; Mammalia; Artiodactyla; Bovidae. The record is from RNAcentral.